This 442-nucleotide ribosomal RNA is filed under the name uncultured bacterium. RNAcentral describes it as "partial 16S ribosomal RNA". It matches the Rfam family "Bacterial small subunit ribosomal RNA", at positions 338 to 795 of the family's 1533-position model. The record is from RNAcentral.
CCUACGGGGGGGCAGCAGUGGGGAAUAUUGCACAAUGGGGGGAACCCUGAUGCAGCGACGCCGCGUGGGUGAAGGAGUAUUUCGGUAUGUAAAGCCCUAUCAGCAGGGAAGAACAAUGACGGUACCUGACUAAGAAGCACCGGCUAAAUACGUGCCAGCAGCCGCGGUAAUACGUAUGGUGCAAGCGUUAUCCGGAUUUACUGGGUGUAAAGGGAGCGCAGGCGGGAAGCCAAGUCAGCUGUGAAAACUACGGGCUUAACUUGUAGACUGCAGUUGAAACUGGUUUUCUUGAGUGAAGUAGAGGUUGGCGGAAUUCCGAGUGUAGCGGUGAAAUGCGUAGAUAUUCGGAGGAACACCGGUGGCGAAGGCGGCCAACUGGGCUUUAACUGACGCUGAGGCUCGAAAGUGUGGGGAGCAAACAGGAUUAGAUACCCUUGUAGUC